Pelobates cultripes (western spadefoot toad) is the source of this 478-nucleotide non-coding RNA. The record is from the annotation of a GenBank genome assembly. NCBI's taxonomy places the organism in Eukaryota, Metazoa, Chordata, Amphibia, Anura, Pelobatidae.
AUUUUACCUCCUGUAUAUUGAUCUGUAUUUUGAUUGUCAGGGUGGUUUUGCCCUGAUUAUUUAUAUUACUGAUUGUGGCUUUUGCUUUUAGUAAUUAUAUUUGUGUUUGAUUGUUAUUAUUUGCUUUUCUCUCCCCUUUGCCCGGUCUCCCUGCUUGUGCUGUAUUUCUGUCAGCACAAGCUGGGAUCCGCGGCUCUCAGUGGAAGUGUUUUGCAUUUGGAGCUUCUGGCUCCCUGUUCCCUCCUUAUCUGCCGGCCCGAUCAGUCUCCUCGCACCCGCUGGUGCGAGGGAGUUCCCGGCCGUGUGUGUACCACGCACUCCCCAGCCAUUGGCGUGUGAGGAGCUCCGGGUACCCGCAGCGCGCUCUGCUCAAGGCGGCCAUCUUGGAUUAUCGGCACACACGUGGCUGGGUCUGCUCGGCGGGUCGGCUCCCUCCUUACCUCCCCUUUCGUUUUUCCUUUACUGUGCAGGUAUUUUU